This 73-nucleotide transfer RNA is filed under the name Ailuropoda melanoleuca (giant panda). It matches the Rfam family "tRNA". From Rfam's summary of the family: Transfer RNA (tRNA) molecules are approximately 80 nucleotides in length. Lineage: Eukaryota; Metazoa; Chordata; Mammalia; Carnivora; Ursidae. The record is from Rfam by way of RNAcentral.
GCCUGGCUGGCUCAGUUGGUAGAGCAUGUGACUCUUGAUCUCAGGGUUGUGAGUUCGAGCUCCAUGUUGCGUG